UACGGAAGGUCCGGGCGUUAUCCGGAUUUAUUGGGUUUAAAGGGAGCGUAGGCCGUUUGCUAAGCGUGUUGUGAAAUGUCGGGGCUCAACCUGGGCAUUGCAGCGCGAACUGGCAGACUUGAGUGCGCGGGAAGUAGGCGGAAUUCGUCGUGUAGCGGUGAAAUGCUUAGAUAUGACGAAGAACUCCGAUUGCGAAGGCAGCCUGCUGUAGCGUAACUGACGCUGAAGCUCGAAAGCGUGGGUAUCGAACAGG
RNAcentral lists this ribosomal RNA (253 nucleotides) under Leyella stercorea DSM 18206. RNAcentral describes it as "Prevotella stercorea DSM 18206 partial 16S ribosomal RNA". It matches the Rfam family "Bacterial small subunit ribosomal RNA", at positions 524 to 776 of the family's 1533-position model. The record is from RNAcentral. Lineage: Bacteria; Pseudomonadati; Bacteroidota; Bacteroidia; Bacteroidales; Prevotellaceae.